Molecule: long non-coding RNA, 1628 nt
Filed under: Felis catus (domestic cat)
Lineage: Eukaryota; Metazoa; Chordata; Mammalia; Carnivora; Felidae
Description: lncRNA (ENSFCAG00000049054.1)
Source: RNAcentral
AUGGCCGUAGACGCCGGCCGCUGCCGCUGGGCGCCUCAAGAGCCUGCUCCAGGCGUCCCAACUCAGCGGUGCCGCGCUCCAGCCGUGCACGCGCCUGACUGCCUGCCUGCCAGCCAGCCUGCCUGCUGCCUGCCUGCCUGCUGCCUGCCUGCCUGCUGCCUGCCUGCCUGCCUGCCUGCCUGCUGCCUGCCUGCCUGCCUGCCUGCCUGCUGCCUGCCUGCCUGCCAGCCUGCCUCCCUGCUUGCCUGCCUGCCUGCCUGCCUGCCUGCCUGCCUGCCUGCCUGCCUGCCUGCCUGCCUGCCUGCCUGCCUGCCUGGCUGCCGCCGCCCUCCGCCGCGGGCCCCGGGCGGGUGGCGGAAGCGGCCCAAGAGGACCCCGGCAAGGCGCUGUGGCGCAAGCCACGGCCUUCGCCGGUCCCGGGACUCUUGCAGGCUGCUCCUGGCUUGGCCCCACGCCCGCCUCCGCUUGCAUCCCGCACCGCAUCGCACCGCACCGCACCGCACCGCACCGCAACCGCACCGCACCGCCACCGCACCGCACCGCACCGCACCACGUCGGGCCGCUCACUGGGAAGAGGGUGGAAGCGAGCGUGGGGCAUCCGGCCGGCCGUGCCUUCUGGGCCCCCCACCCCUCGCCGGGCUCUCAGCGCCUCCUCCCCAGUCUCAGGGCGAGCCCGGCCAGCCCCCGCUCCCCGGCCUUUCCCUCCCGUCCGCCCACCUGAUGCAAGGCCACACCGGAGGCCCCAGCGCCCCCAGAGAACAUCACCAGCCCGGGCCCGCUGCCCUAGCUGGGCCUCGCGCAACGCCGGGGACCCUGGGGAUGAGGGCUCCAGGGAGGGAAGAGGUCCGGGACCCAGGGAGCCCAGGCCUGUGGCGGAAUCUGAGUCUGGGGUCUCGCUGCCCCGCCCGCUCCUGGGUUCUUGUAUCCACCCACCCAGCCCCCACCCUCCAGUCCCCAGGCGCCAGCCCCCGGACCCGCCCUCACCGCACCCCCCCACCCCUUCCGUGCGGGUGCAGUGUCGGGAAAGGUGCAAAGCCGGGGCGUGGCUUCCAGCCGGGGCAGUGGGAUUUAGCCUGGUGCGGGAAGCGGGGAGCGGCGAGCGGACCCCUUGUGAAGUGCCGUGGGGUGUGCGGGCUCGGGGGGCGGGGCGUGGCGGGGCGGGGCCAGGCUAGGCCAGGCCAGGCCGCUGAACCGGCCCGGGAGGGGCUGAGGGAGCAGCGGCCGGGGUGUGUUUGGCCCCCGGAGCCGCGCUCCCCGGGGGGAGAGGGACACACGGAGGGAGGGGGGAGGGGCGGCGGGCGCCAAAGGAGAGGUCAAGGAGGCCAGAGGCAACAGGCCGAAGGCAAAAGGCCAAAGGCAAAAGGCCAAAGGCAAAAGCCUACAGCACCCGGUAUUCCCAGGCGGUCUCCCAUCCAAGUACUAACCAGGCCCGACCCUGCUUAGCUUCCGAGAUCAGACGAGAUCGGGCGCGUUCAGGGUGGUAUGGCCGUAGACGCCGGCCGCUGCCGCUGGGCGCCUCAAGAGCCUGCUCCAGGCGUCCCAACUCAGCGGUGCCGCGCUCCAGCCGUGCACGCGCCUGACUGCCUGCCUGCCUGCCAGCCUGCCUGCCUGCCUGCCUGCCUGCCUGG